GAGGAACUAAUACUAAAUGGCAUUGAGAGUAACCGAGUUAGAGGAGGCUUGAUAAUUACAUAUAUGGUAUAGUGUAGUUAAAGACAAAACAUACUUUUGUGAUAUCCAAGGGAAACGAAUUAUACCUUUUCCUUCUUAGGGUAAAAGUCUUAUAUACAUGGAGAUGUGCAAUUUCUCCCUUGGAAUCUUUUGAUACUCUAAAGUUGCUGUGAUUCGUUUGAUUGACACUUGUAUAAAUUAUAAAAUCGACAUCGGCUACAAUCAUUACUUCAUUACAAACACAGCAUUUUAUCGAGACUGAGCACUAGUAUCACCAUCUUUUACCCUGAACAUGUUUGCAUUGCCUUUUCUGUUUUGAGUUGUGACAUCAACCACAGCAAGACAAUAUUAUCAAUACUAACUCCUGUGUCCUUAGUCCUUACACAAGGUCCUUAUCUCUGAUUUAGUACUAUUAUGCAGUGGGUGUGCGAUCUCUCGUGGACGUCUCUGAUUUAGGUACCUCAUGGCUUGUAUCGAUUAUUGUUCCAUUUCAGUCCAUAAGUCUGACGGUGCAGGAUUCAUGAUCUUGGCUGCUGCAGCAAGGAUCAGGUGCCAUGUCUUAGUUCCUGAUGUCACUCAUUCCGAAAUUGUCAUAUGAAUCUG
RNAcentral lists this long non-coding RNA (642 nucleotides) under Setaria viridis. RNAcentral describes it as "long non-coding RNA (SVIR_LNC002593)". The record is from RNAcentral. Lineage: Eukaryota; Viridiplantae; Streptophyta; Magnoliopsida; Poales; Poaceae.